CUUUUUGUUAACAUUCAAGUUUUGUUCCCUGUUCCUUGGAGUCUGCAUUUUGGGUCCUUUUUUCAAUUCAUACAGUCUGUCCUCGCCAGACUGUGACAGUCCGUGCUUGCUCGAAAGUUUACGAUUUUUUUCGCUGUAAAAAGAAGUUCCUAUGCAGUGAGCAGCGGACACUAAUGUUUUCGUCACUUUUUACGGAAUCAAACUCAAAGUAAGGUCAGUACAUCCACGCUUUAAACGCUGUAUGGUCAUACUCUCUCCCGCACUCGAUAUAUUAUCCUUUGUUGAUCUGCACACAGCUGUUGCCACAAACAGCUGUGUGCUGUGAAACACUCUUGCAAAAAAGUCACAGUUUUAGUAAAGGAGUAAUUCAGCGUGCUUACGGGAAAGUAACAGUAAUCUUAUUACCUUUUUUGCAAUAGUAAUCCCUUACUUUACUCAUUACUUGAAAAAAGUAAUCGGAUUACAUUAACACGUUACUUAUAACGAUACUUGUAACGCAUUACUACCCAUCUCUGAACAUGAGUAACACUAAUCAACACACGCGCCAAGUCAGGCUGAGACAGCAGCGACAUGCACGCAGCUCCUACCUGCAACACCGGGGGAAGUCAGGUGACCGAAAGGAGAUGACAACAGGUACGCGAUUUGGGGAUGCUCAGAUGGCUGCUACUAUUUAUACUAGCGCCCCCUAAUGCGCAUGACUAAAAGUGGGAUUAACCAGAACAAAAAAAACCAAAAAAAAAAAACCACCCAGCACGCCCCUGCGGGCGGUUUAUCCUUCAAGCUCGGGUCCACUACCAGAGGCCUGGGAGCUUGAGGGUCCUGCGCAGUAUCUUAGCUGUUCCCAGGACUGCGCUCUUCUGGACAGAGAUCUCCGAUGUUAUUCCCGGGAUCUGCUGGAGCCACUCGCCUAGCUUGGGAGUCACCGCACCUAGUGCUCCGAUUACCACGGGGAUCACCAUUACCUUCACCCUCCACAUCCUCUCGAGCUCUUCUCUGAGCCCUUGGUAUUUCUCCAGCUUCUCGUGUUCCUUCUUCCUGAUAUUGCUGUCAUUCGGAACCGCUACAUCGAUCACUACGGCCGUCUUCUUCUGUUUGUCUACCACCACUAUGUCCGGUUGGUUAGCCACCACCAUUUUGUCCGUCUGUAUCUGGAAGUCCCACAGGAUCUUAGCUCGGUCAUUCUCCACCACCCUUGGGGGCAUCUCCCAUUUUGACCUCGGGACUUCCAG
Molecule: long non-coding RNA, 1229 nt
Organism: Astatotilapia calliptera (eastern happy)
Lineage: Eukaryota; Metazoa; Chordata; Actinopteri; Cichliformes; Cichlidae
Source: Ensembl